This 1539-nucleotide unclassified non-coding RNA is filed under the name Cimex lectularius (bed bug). RNAcentral's name for it is "tetraspanin-33-like, transcript variant X1". The record is from RNAcentral. Lineage: Eukaryota; Metazoa; Arthropoda; Insecta; Hemiptera; Cimicidae.
ACUGUGUAGCACACUAGCACUGUUACAGUGUAGAGACUGUCAAACAAAAAGCUUGAAAUGACAGGUCGCCAGGGAUCUCGUGUUGUGAAAUCUUAAACCGCUGACAUAAGUGUUAACAAAUUUGCCGUUGAACAAAUUCCCUGCUGGUCAACGUUGUCAUGCCCAGAUGCCGAUUUAAAAAGGCUCGCAUCUUCGGAAUAUCGAAUAGGAAGAGCUAACCUUUUUUUCCUCUCACUUCCGUCGUAUUCUUCGCCCUCCCUGUUUGGAAUUCGAGGAAAGAAAAUGAACCGGAGGAGAAACCCGAGCAAUUUCACCUACAUCAGCCCUUGCGUCAAGUAUAUGAUCUUCAUGCUUAAUUUCCUCUUCUGGCUGUUUGGAGGGUUGCUAAUUGGCAUUGGGACAUAUGCUUUUGUCGAUAAAUGGCGAGGUACAGGGGGCCUGUAUAAAGUCAAUACAAUUUAUGAUAUAUUACUUGACAUAUCUCUAGUCCUUAUUAUAUUCGGGGGAGUUGUUUUUGUCGUAAGCUUCGCCGGAUGCGUCGGAGCCCUAAGAGAAAACACGUGUCUCCUUAAAUUUUAUUCAUUAUGUCUGUUGAUAUUCUUCCUCCUGGAAAUGGCGAUCGCUAUAAUCGGCUUCGUGUUCCCUCACACCAUGCAGACUAUAAUUCAAGAUUCUUUUACAGUUCAAAUAAUACACAAAUACAGGGAUAAUGACGAUUUAAGAAACUUCAUAGACUUUGCGCAAAAGGAGUUCCAUUGCUGCGGCCUGAGUUCAGGAGGGUACAUGGAUUGGUCGAGCAAUGAGUAUUUUAAUUGUUCUUCCCCCAGUCGAGAACAGUGUGGAGUCCCUUAUUCUUGCUGCAUCAACGCAACAAACAUUGCUGGUGGUUUAAUUAACAUAAUGUGCGGAUAUGGAGCCCAAAAUCUUUCAGCUGCUGAAGCGAGUAAAAAAGUGUGGACAAGUGGCUGUAUCGAAGUCGUAAAAGCAUAUGCGGAGAGGAAUCUGUACACAAUCGCAGGUUUUGCAUUGGGCGUAGCACUCAGUCAGCUGUUUGUGAUAUAUCUCGGGAAGACCCUCGAAGGACAGAUAGAGCUACAAAAGUCGCGAUGGACGUCGUGAAACAUAGUUGCCUACCGCUAAAUCUUGACUGAUUUUUCUUUUUUGUUUCCAUACCUUUCUUCAGAAGUCUACAAAAAUGGUAGGCUAAUGAAUUCUCUUUGUCAUUCCCUUGUUUCCAGUGAACAGACGAUUUUUUUUCCUCCGUCUUGUCUUUUCAGGCAACUAUUUGUUAUUGAAUAUUUAUUAUUAAUAAGAAGUUUGAAGAAUAAGACUUAGCUUCAAAAAAAGAAAAACCCGUGUUUUUCUCAUAUUGCAAAAAUCUAGUUUUAAAGUAAUUUUUAACAAAACGACUGCUAAAUUUUUGAUACCAGAAAAUAUAGUGUAAUAAUUAAAUAUAAUGUUUAGUGUAAAUGCCAAUACAAAAACGACAAACGUAACAGCUUUUAUUUUACUACUUAACAGGCGUGGGAGACCAAGUAG